CCUACGGGAGGCAGCAGUGGGGAAUUUUGGACAAUGGGCGCAAGCCUGAUCCAGCCAUUCCGCGUGAGUGAAGAAGGCCUUCGGGUUGUAAAGCUCUUUCAGGAGGGAAGAAACGAUUGUGGCUAAUACCCAUGAUUAAUGACGGUACCUUCAGAAGAAGCACCGGCUAACUACGUGCCAGCAGCCGCGGUAAU
Molecule: ribosomal RNA, 194 nt
Filed under: uncultured bacterium
Lineage: Bacteria
Description: partial 16S ribosomal RNA
Rfam family: Bacterial small subunit ribosomal RNA
Source: RNAcentral